AUUGAACGCUGGCGGCAGGCCUAACACAUGCAAGUCGAACGGUAACAGGAAGCAGCUUGCUGCUUCGCUGACGAGUGGCGGACGGGUGAGUAAUGUCUGGGAAGCUGCCUGAUGGAGGGGGAUAACUACUGGAAACGGUAGCUAAUACCGCAUAAUGUCGCAAGACCAAAGAGGGGGACCUUCGGGCCUCUUGCCAUCGGAUGUGCCCAGAUGGGAUUAGCUUGUUGGUGGGGUAACGGCUCACCAAGGCGACGAUCCCUAGCUGGUCUGAGAGGAUGACCAGCCACACUGGGACUGAGACACGGUCCAGACUCCUACGGGAGGCAGCAGUGGGGAACAUUGCACAAUGGGCGCAAGCCUGAUGCAGCCAUGCCGCGUGUAUGAAGAAGGCCUUCGGGUUGUAAAGUACUUUCAGCGGGGAGGAAGGGAGUAAAGUUAAUACCUUUGCUCAUUGACGUUACCCGCAGAAGAAGCACCGGCUAACUCCGUG
This 490-nucleotide ribosomal RNA is filed under the name uncultured bacterium. RNAcentral describes it as "partial 16S ribosomal RNA". It matches the Rfam family "Bacterial small subunit ribosomal RNA", at positions 30 to 507 of the family's 1533-position model. The record is from RNAcentral.